CAGCAGCCGCGGUAAUACGAAGGGGGCUAGCGUUGCUCGGAAUGACUGGGCGUAAAGGGCGCGUAGGCGGUUUAUACAGUCAGAUGUGAAAUUCCUGGGCUCAACCUGGGGACUGCAUUUGAUACGUAUGGACUUGAGUGGAGAAGAGGGUCGUGGAAUUUCCAGUGUAGAGGUGAAAUUCGUAGAUAUUGGAAAGAACACCGGUGGCGAAGGCGGCGACCUGGUCUUUAACUGACGCUGAGGCGCGAAAGCGUGGGGAGCAAACAGGAUUAGAUACCCCUGUAGUCCCUGUCUCUUAUAC
Molecule: ribosomal RNA, 301 nt
Filed under: uncultured bacterium
Lineage: Bacteria
Description: partial 16S ribosomal RNA
Rfam family: Bacterial small subunit ribosomal RNA
Source: RNAcentral